AACGAUUGUUUCAUGUCUUAUCUUUCUAUUUUCUUCUAUUAUCACAUCGUCUUUAAUCCUUUUCUUUUUGGCUUUGGCUUUGGACUACCAGGAUCAUGCGACGAUCUUUUAUUCGGAUCGAUUUCUGUGAUCUUCCUCGGAUCGAAAUAUUCAUGAUCUUUCUCGAAUCAAAGUGGCCAUGAUCUUUCUCGGAUCAAAUCAUUCAUGAUCUUUCUCGGAUC
Molecule: long non-coding RNA, 221 nt
Filed under: Elaeis guineensis (African oil palm)
Lineage: Eukaryota; Viridiplantae; Streptophyta; Magnoliopsida; Arecales; Arecaceae
Description: long non-coding RNA (EGUI_LNC040700)
Source: RNAcentral